GUCAUAUUUUGUGAGAAAAUUCUCCAUGCUCUUCCAGUUUCUUUCUUCCCAGCUCUCGCUUCUCAAACUGGAACCUCAUAUGCCUUCUUGGGUAUUUUUCAAAACUGAGAUGGCAGUUUAGGGAAACUGAAAAAGCAUGCACUUUAGAUGGAGUUACUGAGAAUGAAAAUAAGGACUUGUCUCCAACACACAAAUCUGAAGAUGCUGUCAUGUGGGGGGAGUCUGCAGAAUUACACCACCAGUGCAGUAAGUUAGUAAAAGCUUUAGUCACUGGUGAGUCAUUACGCAGCAUUAGGGAGCACAUAUCAAAGAAAAUGCUUGAGAACAACAUGUUUGUAAAGGCUUUUGUUUACAGUGGGUCCCUCCUUUCCCACUAGGAAAUCUAUCACAAGGGAAAUGCUGUCAGUAUAAAGAAUGUGAGAAAGCCAUUUUUGACAUUAGAAAAUCUGCAAAAGCGAGAAACUGCAUACAUGUGAUGACUGUAAGGAGGCCUUCAUUCAUCAUGGAAACCUUCUAGAACAUUAUGUGAAGGAAGCAAGAAGGAAGGCCUUCAGCCAGAAGUCAGAACUGACUGCACUAUAGAUUCUACACGGGAGACAGAUCUACUAAAUGUGAUGAAUGUGGAAAUGUUUUCUAUGGAAUCAUAGCAUUAUUCAGCAUUGGGGAGAAGAUCACACUAAAGAAAAACUGAGUGUCAUGGGUUUGGAAAAGUCUUCAGAGGUUGGACCUUAGAAAAUAUCAGGGAGUCCAUAUUAGAGAGGCUCUUAUAAAUGAGAAGAUUGUAGGAAGUUGUAUGGACAGAUAUCAAGCCUCAACAAUAGAGUCUCCAUGAUAUUGGAAAAUUCAUAUAAUUAAUGUAAAUGGGCAAGAUGUAUGGGGAAUGGAUAUUUUAUAUUGCCCAUUGUAGCCACAAAGAACAUUCAGUGAAUUUCUCAAGUCAAGAAAAAGGAAAGUCAUAAGUUCUUUUUGCUUCCAAAAGGAGUCUAUAAACAUGAACGAUCAGGAGUUUUGAAAUGAAGAUGUUUACCUGCAUCCCUGGACUUGUGCUACUGUCUCCAAGAUGACUGUUGGGGACAUGGUAUUUUCCCAUGCCCACUCUAAUCUCACAUCUUAAAUUCAUUCAAGUGUAGAUAAUAUUGUCUACUGCUUGUUGUAAAUUAAUUCUUAUGGGCUAAAUAGGCUUGUAUGAGUACCCCAGGACAUAAAAAUGACAUUUGUAAAGCUUCAGUAAGCAUAAUGAGCCACGUCAUUGAAUUGUUAGUACUUUUUAAAAUUUGGCACUGCUUCUGUGUUCCAACACAAGGCCAAAGAGGUGUCCAUCACAGAGUAUAUAUUUCCCAGCUUUGUUUUUUUUUUUAAGAUAGAAAAUGAUAUUUC
This 1377-nucleotide long non-coding RNA is filed under the name Bos mutus (wild yak). RNAcentral describes it as "lncRNA (ENSBMUG00000024277.1)". The record is from RNAcentral. Lineage: Eukaryota; Metazoa; Chordata; Mammalia; Artiodactyla; Bovidae.